AUUGAACGCUGGCGGCAUGCUUUACACAUGCAAGUCGAGCGGCAGCGCGGGGGGCAACCCUGGCGGCGAGCGGCGAACGGGUGAGUAAUGCAUCGGAACGUACCCUGGAGUGGGGGAUAACGCCGCGAAAGCGGCGCUAAUACCGCAUAUGCUCUGAGGAGGAAAGUGGGGGACCGCAAGGCCUCACGCUCUGGGAGCGGCCGAUGUCCGAUUAGCUAGUUGGUGGGGUAAAGGCUUACCAAGGCGACGAUCGGUAGCUGGUCUGAGAGGAUGAUCAGCCACACUGGGACUGAGACACGGCCCAGACUCCUACGGGAGGCAGCAGUGGGGAAUUUUGGACAAUGGGGCAACCCUGAUCCAGCCAUGCCG
Molecule: ribosomal RNA, 369 nt
Filed under: uncultured bacterium
Lineage: Bacteria
Description: bacterial SSU rRNA
Rfam family: Bacterial small subunit ribosomal RNA
Source: RNAcentral